RNAcentral lists this ribosomal RNA (497 nucleotides) under uncultured bacterium. RNAcentral's name for it is "partial 16S ribosomal RNA". It matches the Rfam family "Bacterial small subunit ribosomal RNA", at positions 28 to 507 of the family's 1533-position model. The record is from RNAcentral.
GAUGAACGCUGGCGGCGUGCCUAAUACAUGCAAGUCGAGCGAACAGACGAGGAGCUUGCUCCUCUGACGUUAGCGGCGGACGGGUGAGUAACACGUGGACAACCUACCUAUAAGACUGGGAUAACUUCGGGAAACCGGAGCUAAUACCGGAUAAUAUAUUGAACCGCAUGGUUCAAUAGUGAAAGACGGUUUUGCUGUCACUUAUAGAUGGAUCCGCGCCGCAUUAGCUAGUUGGUAGGGUAACGGCUUACCAAGGCGACGAUGCGUAGCCGACCUGAGAGGGUGAUCGGCCACACUGGAACUGAGACACGGUCCAGACUCCUACGGGAGGCAGCAGUAGGGAAUCUUCCGCAAUGGGCGAAAGCCUGACGGAGCAACGCCGCGUGAGUGAUGAAGGUCUUCGGAUCGUAAAACUCUGUUAUUAGGGAAGAACAAAUGUGUAAGUAACUAUGCACGUCUUGACGGUACCUAAUCAGAAAGCCACGGCUAACUACGUG